UACGGAGGAUGCAAGCGUUAAUCGGAAUUACUGGGCGUAAAGCGCGCGUAGGCGGCUGGGUAAGUCGAUUGUGAAAGCCCCGGGCUCAACCUGGGAAUUGCAGUCGAGACUGCUCAGCUAGAGUGUGGGAGAGGGUGGUGGAAUUCCCGGUGUAGCGGUGAAAUGCGUAGAUAUCGGGAGGAACAUCAAAGGAGACGGCGACCACCGGGACCUACACUGACGCUGAGGUGCGAAAGCCAGGGGAGCGAACGGG
This 253-nucleotide ribosomal RNA is filed under the name uncultured bacterium. RNAcentral describes it as "partial 16S ribosomal RNA". It matches the Rfam family "Bacterial small subunit ribosomal RNA", at positions 524 to 776 of the family's 1533-position model. The record is from RNAcentral.